CUUUCAAUAUAUAUCUACAAAGAACACUCCACUGCAUUGUAGUUGCUUGCAUAUUUAGGGUUUUCCAACACUGCAUCUAACUAUUCAAACUUAGAGAGUAUUUUUCUACAAUGGGAAAUUGUCUCAAAAACUCGAUGACUACUCCUAUCGUCUAUGUUCCCCAUCAAGGGUAAAUGCAAUCCCUAACUUAGUCAUGAACCUCGCUCUCGAAUCGGUCAUUAAAGAAUGACAAGUAACUGAAAUUUGUAUCAAUACUGUCAAGCUCAUGCUUGAUUCACUCAAAGCGUGCUAUACUAUCUUUGACGAGAUUGUUGCGACCCGUGGUGUGCGUUGGAUGAUCCAUUCUAACAUGGUGAUAGCUGAUGAGGUUGCCUGGUCGAAAUUACUGAAGAAAAACCCCUUAGGGGGUGCUUACUACUACAGAAACGAGCCAACCACAAUACUACUUAGUCGCCACUAUUUUCGGACUAACUGGUGUUGACAUAGAUGACGAGACAAUGAUCGUCAUACCAUCAGACACCACCGAGUCAGUUGGUAAUUCACAUGGUCCGAUUGCUGCAUCUCCGACGGAUCUUGACAAGGUGAACUCACCAUGUGUUAGACGUGGUCCAAAUGUUAAGCGCAAACUGUUUAUCGACGAAUCAGGAACUGCUGAUAGACAUUCUUCCAAAGCUGCUCCACCCAUCAACCUUGGCACCACAUUUGAUUGUCCCUAGAAGCCCAAAACAGAUAAUCAACCACUACGCCGUAUGGAUCCAGCUCAAAUGAAUCUGCCUAAGUUCUCGUCAGGAAGGAGUUCGAGCGCAUCAUGCAGCCCGUUUCCAGAGAGCCACAAAACAGCCUCUUAGUACUGGUAAGUAGUUUAUACAUUAGUAUUUGUUUAUGCCCACUUGACUACGUUUUGCCUUUCUACCAUAUUAGUGGAUGAAUGGUUAUGCAAAAGAUGGUUAAAGUAGCUUUAUGUGUAUUAAAUGGGUGUUUACUUGACUCAUACAUGUGGUAUGCAAAAUAUAUGUGUUAAUUGCCUCGGUGCCUUAUAUGAUAGGCACACGAAUUCUAUGAAAUUAUGCCACGUAUAA
This is a long non-coding RNA of Salvia splendens (bonfire salvia), 1079 nucleotides long. RefSeq lists it as uncharacterized. The transcript is spliced from 2 exons. NCBI's taxonomy places the organism in Eukaryota, Viridiplantae, Streptophyta, Magnoliopsida, Lamiales, Lamiaceae. The record is from RefSeq and is a predicted model, not a curated record.